UACGUAGGGGGCAAGCGUUGUCCGGAAUCAUUGGGCGUAAAGAGCGUGUAGGCGGCCCGAUAAGUCCGCUGUGAAAGUCCAGGGCUCAACCCUGGGAUGCCGGUGGAUACUGUCGGGCUCGAGUCCGGAAGAGGAGUGUGGAGUUCCUGGUGUAGCGGUGAAAUGCGCAGAUAUCAGGAGGAACACCAAUGGCGAAGGCAGCACUCUGGGACGUGACUGACGCUGAGACGCGAAAGCGUGGGGAGCAAACAGG
RNAcentral lists this ribosomal RNA (253 nucleotides) under uncultured bacterium. Its description in RNAcentral is "partial 16S ribosomal RNA". It matches the Rfam family "Bacterial small subunit ribosomal RNA", at positions 524 to 776 of the family's 1533-position model. The record is from RNAcentral.